UACAGAGGGGGCAAGCGUUGUUCGGAAUUACUGGGCGUAAAGGGCGCGUAGGCGGCCUUCUAAGUCGAACGUGAAAUCCCCGGGCUCAACCCGGGAACUGCGUCCGAUACUGGAAGGCUUGAAUCCGGGAGAGGGAUGCGGAAUUCCAGGUGUAGCGGUGAAAUGCGUAGAUAUCAGGAGGAACACCAGUGGCGAAGGCGGCUUUCUGGACGGUAACUGACGCUGAGACGCGAAAGCGUGGGGAGCAAACAGG
RNAcentral lists this ribosomal RNA (253 nucleotides) under uncultured bacterium. RNAcentral's name for it is "partial 16S ribosomal RNA". It matches the Rfam family "Bacterial small subunit ribosomal RNA", at positions 524 to 776 of the family's 1533-position model. The record is from RNAcentral.